CCAGUCCUGAAAAGGUUAGUGACUAGAAUACCCGAAGGAAUUUUCUACAAUUAUCCUUAUAUGCUCAAUACACAAGGUAAUGUUGCAAAUAAUUAAAAGCUCAUGUUACAAUCUGAUCAGUGCUUGUUUUAGGACACUAAGCUUGUCCUUGGGAAACCAUCGAUUUAUGUCAGUGAAGUGGUUUCCCCUCCAACGCUGACCUAUAUCA
Molecule: long non-coding RNA, 208 nt
Filed under: Sorghum bicolor (sorghum)
Lineage: Eukaryota; Viridiplantae; Streptophyta; Magnoliopsida; Poales; Poaceae
Description: long non-coding RNA (SBIC_LNC012330)
Source: RNAcentral